RNAcentral lists this unclassified non-coding RNA (4486 nucleotides) under Hevea brasiliensis (rubber tree). Lineage: Eukaryota; Viridiplantae; Streptophyta; Magnoliopsida; Malpighiales; Euphorbiaceae. The record is from RNAcentral.
CGAAGGCUGAGGCUCCCUACUGUUUCUCUCUCUUCUUGAAGUCAACCGAAAUCAAUCUCAAAUUCUCAUUCUCUCACUCUCUCCCUCAACUUCACUUAUUGCUGUCUCUCUCUCUCUCUAUACAAAUCCACAAUCAUGGCAGACCAGAGCACAAACCCUUCAAUCAUGGAGCCAAAGCCACCACAUCCACUACACCAGAUAGCAGAAACUCCAACCCACAAGCUCCUUUUGAAGCAAUGGCUCAACGAAGAGACCCAAAUGAAUUCUGUCCAUAAAGAGAUCACAGAGCUAUAUAUCUUUUUCUUCCUCUUCCACUCCAGUGCCCUGCUCCUUCUCUUCAAUGCCUCCUCCAAAGACCCACCUGGAACUAGUGCUUCCUCCUGCAAGAGAUCACGGAUCCCAUCAUUGUGUUCUCUUUUGUGUUCUUUGGGAAUAACCUGGGCCGUUCGAUACAAAACUGAUGUAGAACUCCACUUGGAGAAGUUGUUGGAGAGAGAGAAAGAGGAUGGGAAGUUGUUGUCCAAGUCGAAAUUGAGAAAGGUUCAAAAGAUCCUGAUUCUUGCAGUGUCACCGAGAAAUCGCACCAGCUCUGCUCAAGAAUAAGGUGGUCCAAGGCAAAAACUUAUCAUCAGAAUCUUAGGAUAAAAAACCCCAGAUACUGAUGUAAAGGGAAACCUGGCAUCGUAAUAUCUUACAUAUUUCUGAAUCGCAAACUGUAGAAGAAAAUCAGAAAUUGCGACAGCAAUGUGGAGCCUUGAUUACGAUUCCCAAAAGUAUGUUAGCUGAUAAAUGCUAAAAAAUGAUUCGGAUAAAAUGGGAUUUUAUGUGUGCUUGUGAUAUGAGGUUCUAGCUAUGAGAUGUUUUGCUUGUAUCAUAAAAAAUAUUGCUGCAAAGGGAAAGGACAGACUGAUUGGGUUUCACAACUCUCAAGGAUCCAGGGAAGCUUGGAGCUCUUGGAUAAUGGUGUAAAACUAGCCAGAUAUAUACAUAUAUAUAUACAUAUAUAAAGGAAACUUGUGAGAAUUUGUCAAAUAGACUGGCAUCUGAUGAAUGUUAAUAUUGCAACGAAACACUUGUACAACAGCGUGACUUGCAUCAAAAUAAGGCCAUUCAGAUGGAUGGCAAUUUUCAGACCAUUCCUACCAUAUCUGUUCUUGUACAGCAUUUCGUUGCCCAACAUAUAUUUUUUCACUUGCUAGACAUUGAAUUGUUUCCUAGGGGUGGGAACUCGAUUUUCCAUGGAUUGCAAUCUUUGUUUGAGAUGGAAAACUUCAACCUGUAGUUGGAAUGCUCUAGCCCUUUCCCCUGCGAGGACUCCCCUAGUAGAAUGUAGUUCCUUCUGUGUAUCAUCCAAAACUGCCUUAAGGAAAGCCACAUCAUGCUCAAGCCUUACAUUAUCAGAAUGGACAAUAUUUGACAAGCUGUUGGCCUCUUCUUGUGCUAGCUCUACACCAGCUAGCUUCUCUUUUAGCAACUCCAUCUCCCUUCGUGUGUCUGCCAACUUUUUCUCCAUAUCUUGUUUACUCUUCAUAACAGAGGAUAGAUUUUUCUCUGCAGCUUCUCGACUUGACGAUGCUGCAGCUAGUUGUCCUUCUAGAACCCCAUUCUUUCUUAUUAGAGCAGCUAUUUUUGUUUCAUAUAAUUGAUAUAUGCUUGAAUGGGCCCCUCCUGUCAUACCAUCAGUUUGUGGUACUAAAACAUCCUCAUUAUCAACUAGAUGGUUUCCAAUUCCUUGGUUUUGGGAGUUCAAAUUUUCAGAUUCAAAUACACAAGGAUUCUCCUCCGCAAUAAUUUUACCUGUUGACACGUUAGUCUGAAUUGACAUAUCAGGUUGACUUGUUUGGUGUCCCAUUGCCUAAAAAAAAAUAUCAUGUUUAUAUCAACAUAAAAUAUAAACGUCUCACUGUGAAUUUAUGUUCCAACAUGGAAAAAUUACAAUUUUACAUUUAUGUCUUUUCGUUUGUUUAUCCACAAAUUAGCAGUAAGCUUGCCAAAUAGCUGUUGUAGAAAAAAUAGCAUGUUAAUGAUGAAUUGUAAGAUUAGAAUUGGACCAAUCACUGCAAGGGAUGUAGAACUGCAAAAAGAAUUUUAGGAAUCCAGAAUUUAGGUCUAGAACUUAGAAAUCAUUGCAUCUCUAAUAAGGGUUGAAAUUUGACCAUGAAUACACUCUUCUCUAGUGACACAAGCUGCUAUGUAAUGAUCGCUUAAUUUUUCAUUGUAAAUAACCAGAAUACUGAAUUUCAGUUUCAUCAAUUAAAAACUGAGUUUAUUAUAUUAAUAUGCUAGAUUUCAUAUAACACUAAGAAUUAGUGAUGACCGUUAAAUUGGUGAGAACCAUCAACUCACCAUAGAUGAAAAUGUUCCAUCUUCUGAAUUCUUUGCCAUCUUAACAGCUGUGUUAUGUUCUUCCUCGUGAAAUUGCUUGUGCAGUGAGACACUGCCAGAAACAGAAUAUGGAUAAAAAAGUGUCUCUGACAAAGAUUUUCUACCAGAAACAUGCUGCUCAACUGCAGAUGCCAAAAUUUGUCUUGCAAGGGAUUCGUCUGAACGCUGGGAAGAACCAGUACUGAGUUGUGCACCCAGCCCCAUGGAUGAUGACCGUUUUCCAAACAACAUAGGGUCAGGACCUUUACUAGCAACAGAUUUUCGACUCAUGGAUGAUUCAUUCUUAUCCAUAUCCAUAACUUCAACCUGAUUUGAUGGCUCCUUUUUGGAUCCUCCAAAUGCAACUAGAAAAUCCUUUUCCUUGUGUUGCACAAGCACCAUGCUAAAUCCCUGAGAGUGAAACAAGUGUUUUAGGCAGACAAAUACAGUUAAAAAAAAAAAAAGAGCAAGAAGAAAUAAACAUGUGGCCAUGCUGCCUACACAAAAUACAGGACAGCAUAAAUUGAAGUCUAAAUCUACGAAGCCAUAGUAUUCAAACAAGUUUCAGCUACAAAAAAAAUCAAAUAAAUUGUUUACAUCAACCAUUUCUCAGCAAAUUAGUCCCCUAGCUUACACUAUCAUAUAUGCAGGGUAAGGAUCACCUUGUUCGUCGUGAUAGAAGAUGGGGAUGCUGCAAAGGCUACAGACCACUCCACUUUCAAAGUAUCAAAAACCAAAGUUUCCGAGUGUCGUUUUUUUCGGCUACCACCUCCUGCUAUGUACCAUUUAGUUCCACAUAGAACUCCACAGCAACCAGCCCUAGGAGAUGGAUGGAAACCUCGUAUCUUUAUUCUUGACCAACCCAUCUGAGGAAAAGAAAUAGAAUAUAAGAUGCAACAAUUAAUAUGAAGUUGCUUUUAUCUGGCCAUAAAAUAGUUAACAUGGCAAUAUUAAGAAUGAAUUUAAGCACCGUUUCAAAGUCAAGUGAAUAUAAGUCAUUCAAAGUCCUUGACUUUGAUGCUCCUCCAAAUAUAAGUAGCAUUUUAUCAUCACAAAGAGCAGCCACAUGGUUGGAUCUUGGAGAUGGUGCUGUUCCUGUGCAAUGUAAAGGGAGCCAUGUUAAAGACUUCAGAUCAAACAUAUGUAGAUCAUUUAGUUUUCUCCUUUUAGCAUCUUCACCCCCAAAUAAAAUUAAAGCAGAGCUUGCCCUGACAGCUGUAUGACCACUGCGAGCAACCGGCACAUCUCCCUUUGCUUCCAAAAGUGACCAACACUCUGUUUCCGUGUCAAAUGCCCACACUGAAAUUCUAUCACUUGCAGGAUCUGUUUUUCCUCCAAUUAGAAGUGCCUUCUUCCCCCAUGAAACCAGACAAUGGCCCUUGCAUGCAGGGAUCUUUAGUGGCAGGCUGCUUGGUGACAAGUAAAGCUUCGAUGAAAUUGCAGUCCAGGUAAAUUGGUCAAAAUUAAGCACCUGUACAUCAUCUAACAAUCCACUUCCAGACUCACCACCAACCACAAUCAUCUUGUCACCAAUCACAGUCGCAGCAUGAUUGGAUCGAGGCGCUGGUUUGUCCCCAGAUAUAGACAACACCAUCCAGUUCUCACAGUUUCCUGAUGUAGAGUUAUUAAUAUCAGGUGGACCAGAUGAACACUGACAAUCGAGCUCAUCAGAAUGACUAGUUGUAGGGGCAACACCUUCACUAUUGGGAUUGUUAAUUCGUUUCUGCGGUCUAAUAGGACUUCUAGUUACAAGUGUUGCAUCCGAGAGUUGUACCUUCUUCACUCUGCCAAGUUUCAUGCGUCUACGAGAGAAACCAAACAUUUUGCUUGAAUUAGAAGUUCAACACUUUAAAACACGUUCUCUACCAGAAAGCCACCAGUUAUCAAGUUGCUUUGAACAAAACCCUAUGAAAAAAGACAUCUGAAAGAAAACAACAGUGGACCAUGUAGGUUUCUGAGAAAACAAAACUAGUGAAGAAGCUGAAAAAGAAAGUAGCAGCAAGUACUACAAGUGAAAAGUAACACAUUACAAUGGAAUCCCUGGUCCAAGAAAAAGCUGGUCAAGUGAAAGAGCUGGUGCUUUCUUCUAGUGAGCUGUCAGUGAAGAGAGAGAGAGAGAGAG